Cebus imitator (Panamanian white-faced capuchin) is the source of this 2914-nucleotide RNA transcript. It is a transcript of the gene named UDP-GlcNAc:betaGal beta-1,3-N-acetylglucosaminyltransferase 5, with no coding region annotated. The transcript has 2 exons. The record is from RefSeq and is a predicted model, not a curated record. NCBI's taxonomy places the organism in Eukaryota, Metazoa, Chordata, Mammalia, Primates, Cebidae.
CUAAGUGGGGACGUUGUGGCGGCUCGGCGGGAUACGUCCCCAGGCCUCGGACGGUUUUCCUCCGUGCCGCGGCCCCAAGCCGGGCUCCCUGGGUCCCCCGCACGGUCCAGGCUUUGGGGCCGCGCGCCGCCCCCUCCGCCCCGCCCCGCCCCGCCGCGCCUCCUCGUCUCGGCGGCUGGCGGCCUCCGGCGCGGGAGGCUCCGAGUGUGCCGCUCCGGGCCGGGCCAGGGCUCGUAGGGAAGGGAGGCGAGGAGGUGAGAGCGCCGCAGCCCUCGCCCGGCGGGUGGCGCCAGGACUUCAGGCCGGGGGCCCGCCGCCCUGGCCCGCACCGCGCGGCCCAGUGCCGGGGAGCUGGGGAGGCCCUCCCACCGCGGCCCGGGCCCGCCGCCCUCCGGAGGCGCGGCGGGGACGGAGGCUCGUGCCCUCUCGGAGCGCCUUUGUUUCCUCCCGCCCGGCCGCGAGGGCGCCCAGCGGCUGUGACCCGGGCCGGGUCCUCGCCCAGGUGCGGCAGUGUGGCAGAGGCAGUUGCUUGCUUGGAUACAUGCAGGGAAAAGUAACCGUUUUCAACUCGACUCUGCACACUACGUUCUCGGCCAGUGUUGGUUUUUGUGGUCCUGUCACAGGGACACCGUGGUAACCGCACCGUGGCUGGCGGUGGCCUGUAGCUCGUAUUUACGGUAAUUGUCUGAUGAAAGUACAUCCAUCAGAAUUGGAUUUGUUCCUCUGUGCCUGUAUUUUGGGAAACCUUGCCUGGUCCCUGCGGGGGAAGGGAGAGGACUGUGAAAAGCUGAAGUUGACCCAGAAAAGGAUGAUUGAAGGUAGUUGUGUUAAGCGGUGGCACCGAAAUGAUCCCACCCUCAACUUUCUGAAAGGGUGAUUAGUGGUCAGCAGCUGACCUUUUAACUUUCUCAAAAAAAAUGUAUGGUAGAUUUUCUAUCUGGUCACAAGUGAGGAGGUGAAAGCUGCUUUUUGGGGCCAACUCUUUGCUUUUAAAGCAAGCUAAACGCAAAACCAAAAUGUUUCCGUUUUGUGUUUAACCUGCUUGUCCUCUCUCUUGCCCCUUCUCAGCUUCCUUCUCCUCCCGGACACGCUCUGAGCCUGAGGAGGAGGCUGACUCAGGCUGACCCUUCCGGGCCCUGCAAGGCUCCCUGUGGCACCUAAGGUAGAACCAGUGUUAUUACAGGAAAAGUCCAAGCCAGAGCCCAGAGCAGCUGUUCCCCAGAAAGUGGGAGAUGAAGAUGAGUAGGAGGUAGAGAUGCUUAUCAUUGCCCUGCCCAGAGAAAACUCAGAAGAAGGUGCAGAAUUUUCAAAAUAAAGUGCAGGCUCUAUCAAAUAAAAAAUGAAACAUUGUAUUUCAUUAAAGUGGAGAUUACUUACCUCUUUUCAUAAAAGACAUUCAAAUGGUGAGAUUGUAAAAAAAAAAAAAAAAAGAAAAUAACUUUCUAGUUCUCAAAAAUAGAACAGCUUGAGUAAUAACUCAUGGGUUUUGAAAUGGGUCAUCUUUUAAAAUGGGUCACUUUGGCUAGAAUCGUUGCACUUGGUGACUUUCACAUUGUGAAGGGUCAAGUGCCUUCUGAGGCCCAACUGCACUAGAAUCUGCAUUUCAGAACACAGGAGGUGUCAGGAAGAAACUGGGAGAAAUUCAGAAGGAAAUUGUCUCUUCACAUAAUAACAAAUGUACCCUGUUUGGGGGGAAUUUUAUGUAUGCUGAAGUAAAUAGAUCUCAGCUUUGCAUUUUAUAAUACAUUAUGCCUUUUCUGAAAUAUUUCCAUCGCCAUUAUUUUAAUUCAUUGUUAUAAUAACCGUGUAAAGAGAGGAAUUCAUUGUAUCUGUGUUCCAGAAACUGAGGCAUGGUAAAUUAUUACAAGAGCUCUGCCCUUUGACAUCAAAUCUCUGUGAGCAAAGAUGUAGCCACAACAGUGUAAAUCUGGAAUUAUAUACUUUCCUUACAGUAUGCAAUAUCUAUUAUGUAUUAGUUUAUAUACAGGGGAUGUAAGAAUCUUUAUAUUUAAAGGAUAAGCAACUUGAUCAGGUGAGAUAUGAGAUUUGAAUAAAAAAGCAAUUUUUUAAAACUUCUUAGUUCUACAAAUUCAGAUGCUGGCUUUGAUAUGUAACGUAUUAAGAUUUCUCUUCCAUAGAAGGCUUUUACACUAGAAGCCCUCUACAGAAGAAAAUGUUCUACCCAGUGUGUAGACAACAAAGCCCAAAAGUUCAAGUUCACAAUAGUGGCCCACAGCCUAAGAUCCACCUAAUAUUUCAGACUGGAUUUCUUUUGCUCCUUUCCUAUAACUUUCUAUAACUUUUUCACAGUGCUCUAAGCAAAAUAAGUUAAAAGAUGGACUCACCUCAGAUUUCCUUCUCUUACUUUAGAGGACCGUAUGAUCUUAUACUUGUGUCAUCCUAAUUGAAAUAUAUUUUAAGUGCUUAUGGGAACCAUGUUCUUUCCUGCCAAGAAUAAUGGAAGACCAUUAUUCCAUGAAUGGAAUAAUGGGAAACAUGGGAAGACCAUAUUCAGUCAAUUAGGGACGAUACUUCUGCUUCAACAGUAUUUGCAAAGUGUUAAAUGGUUCUUAGCAAUCAGAUCAGUAUUUUUAAAAACUCCUACCUAAUUAAUGUUUUUUGAGAAGAAGUAUAUUAUGAGUAUAGCUCAGCAUUCUGAAAAGAGAAAACCUCCUGAAAAAAAAAAUCAGCCAUCCACUCACUAACCCAUCCUGGUAAACCUACAUAAACAGGUUCUGGAGAAAGGAAAUUUACAGAUAUGGACCAUCUCAUCUGGACGGACAUUGUCAAUAAGUUAUCUCAAGUGAUCCUCAGAAAACACUGUCUGGUACAUAGUUUAGAGACAAGUCAAGCUCAUGUGACCAGUAAAUGGAGGCACAGCGCACAUCUCCUUUUGUUUGCAUUUAAACACUCU